RNAcentral lists this long non-coding RNA (735 nucleotides) under Homo sapiens (human). RNAcentral's name for it is "HSALNT0364309". Lineage: Eukaryota; Metazoa; Chordata; Mammalia; Primates; Hominidae. The record is from RNAcentral.
CUUUAAAAAAGUUUCUAAACUUCGAUAUCUGCUUUUCUGUACUAAUUAUUGCCAAUAUAUUUCUACUGGCAUAAAAACAGACACACAGGACAAUGGAGCAGAAUGGAGAUCUCAGACAUAAAUCUACACAUUUACAAACAACUCAUCUCUGACAAAGGCAUCAAGAACAUACACUGGGCAAAGAACAGUCUUUUCAAUAAAUAAUCCUGGGAAAACUGAAUAACUAAAUGAAGAAGGAUAAAAUUAAACCCCUCUUACCAUAUACAAAAAUCAAAUCGAAUAAAAAUAGAUUAAAGACUUGAAUCUAAGACCUGAAACUAUGAAGUUACUAAAAGAAAGCAUAGGAGAAAUGCUCCAGGACAUUGGUCCGGGCAGAUUUUUUUGCGUAAGACCUCAGAAGCACAGGCAACAAAGGCAAAAAUAGACAAUGGGAUUAUAUCAAGCUAAAAAGCCUCAAGCAAAGGAAAUAAUCAACAAAGUGAAGUGCCAACCACAGAAUGGGACAAAAUAUUUUCAAACUAUCCAUCUGAUAAAGGAGUAACAACUGCAAUAUAUAAAAAGCUCAAACAACUCAAUAAUAAUCAAAAAAUCUGAUUGAAAAAUGGGCUACUGAAGAGGCUGAGGUAGGAGGAUUUCUUAAUCCCAGGAGUUUGAGGUUACAGUGAGCUAUGAUUAAGCCACUGCCCUUUAUCUUGGGUGACACAGCAAGACCUUGCUUCUAAAAAAAUUGUUAAA